CCUACGGGAGGCAGCAGUGGGGAAUAUUGCACAAUGGGGGAAACCCUGAUGCAGCGACGCCGCGUGGACGAUGAAGUAUUUCGGUACGUAAAGUCCUGUCAGCAGGGAAGAAAACGACAGUACCUGACCAAGAAGCCCCGGCUAACUACGUGCCAGCAGCCGCGGUAAUACGUAGGGGGCGAGCGUUAUCCGGAUUCACUGGGCGUAAAGGGAGCGCAGGCGGCACGGCAAGUCCGGUGUGAAAGCCCGGGGCCCAACCCCGGGACUGCACUGGAAACUGCCGGGCUGGAGUGCCGGAGGGGUAA
RNAcentral lists this ribosomal RNA (305 nucleotides) under uncultured bacterium. Its description in RNAcentral is "bacterial SSU rRNA". It matches the Rfam family "Bacterial small subunit ribosomal RNA", at positions 338 to 660 of the family's 1533-position model. The record is from RNAcentral.